ACGUGACAUACUUCCGUUGAUUAAAGCAUUAGAAGCAGCAGAUCGACUGACGUACGGUGUGUUAAAGUGUUCCCUUUUAAGAAGUUUACCGGAACCGCGGAACCGAUGAUCCUCUUAAACAGAGGAAAAGCAAUCACUAUUGCACAGUGACAGACAUUGCACGUGUGAGGAAUAAUCCUCGGCAGGCCCAAUACCCCAUUAACUACAAUUCCCAAUAUCAUCUGGAAAAGUGACGCCGAAAUCACAAAACAGAGGUAUCAGAUAUACGGCCGGCUACCUGUCACAGCAUAAGGUGCACAAUACCGACGAACAGUCAUCGUACCAAGCAACCCGUACCGUCGCACAGUACGAACCACGAAGAGGCGACAGUGCAGCUUCCAUCCCGCGCAAACGGACCAUAUCCACCAAAUCACUCCCCGAACACAGAAGGCCCUCGGAAGAGGGCCUUUCUUUUUUGAUAAAUAAAUAGCAGCAGUGCGACGACAGCCGCGCUCACGCCACCGACAUCGACACAGCAUUUGCCAGGACGUGUGAAGAUCGUCCCGAUCGCUCUAACUAGCAGUUUUAGAUUACAUCCUCACACUAUACCAAAAUCCAAUUGGAAAACUCAGUGGUGAGAACGACGAGCCUGUGAGAAACUCACUAAUGCAUGCUGAGCUUGGAGAGCGUCGCAGUCACACUAGUGUUGAGCAUCAACGUUACCCACUAGUAACUCGGGUAUCACGUGUUGACGGUUAGGAAGAAGGGUGAAAGGGCCCAAGCAUCAAGUGUA
Armigeres subalbatus is the source of this 772-nucleotide long non-coding RNA. RefSeq lists it as uncharacterized. NCBI's taxonomy places the organism in Eukaryota, Metazoa, Arthropoda, Insecta, Diptera, Culicidae. The transcript has 5 exons. The record is from RefSeq and is a predicted model, not a curated record.